GGUGUGGCUCAGUGGUAGAGCAUAUGCUUAGUAUGUAUGAGGUCCUAGGUUCAAUCCACAGCAUC
RNAcentral lists this transfer RNA (65 nucleotides) under Cricetulus griseus (Chinese hamster). It matches the Rfam family "tRNA". From Rfam's summary of the family: Transfer RNA (tRNA) molecules are approximately 80 nucleotides in length. Their secondary structure includes four short double-helical elements and three loops (D, anti-codon, and T loops). Further hydrogen bonds mediate the characteristic L-shaped molecular structure. tRNAs have two regions of fundamental functional importance: the anti-codon, which is responsible for specific mRNA codon recognition, and the 3' end, to which the tRNAs corresponding amino acid is attached (by aminoacyl-tRNA synthetases). tRNAs cope with the degeneracy of the genetic code in two manners: having more than one tRNA (with a specific anti-codon) for a particular amino acid; and 'wobble' base-pairing, i.e. permitting non-standard base-pairing at the 3rd anti-codon position. The record is from Rfam by way of RNAcentral. Lineage: Eukaryota; Metazoa; Chordata; Mammalia; Rodentia; Cricetidae.